CCUACGGGAGACUGCAGUGAGGAAUAUUGGUCAAUGGGCGAGAGCCUGAACCAGCCAAGUCGCGUGAGGGAGUACUGCCCUAUGGGUUGUAAACCUCUUUUGUCGGGGAGCAAAAGCCGGACGUGUCCGGCUGUGAGAGUACCCGAAGAAAAAGCAACGGCUCACUCCGUGCCAGCAGCCGCGGUAAUACGGAGGAUGCGAGCGUUAUCCGGAUUUAUUGGGUUGAAAGGGUGCGCAGGCGGAUUUUUAAGUCAGCGGUCACAUCGUGGGGCUCAACCCCAUCCAGCCGUUGAAACUGGGGCUCUCGCGUGUGCGAGGGGUCUGCGGAAUGCGUGGUGUAGCGGUGAAAUGCAUAGAUAUCACGCAGAACCCCGAUUGCGAAGGCAGCAUACCGGUGCACAACUGACGCUCAGGCACGAACGCGUGGGUAUCGAACAGGAUUAGAUACCCUGGUAGUC
This 458-nucleotide ribosomal RNA is filed under the name uncultured bacterium. RNAcentral describes it as "partial 16S ribosomal RNA". It matches the Rfam family "Bacterial small subunit ribosomal RNA", at positions 338 to 795 of the family's 1533-position model. The record is from RNAcentral.